This 611-nucleotide ribosomal RNA is filed under the name Aureobasidium pullulans. RNAcentral's name for it is "partial large subunit ribosomal RNA". It matches the Rfam family "Eukaryotic large subunit ribosomal RNA", at positions 38 to 664 of the family's 3401-position model. The record is from RNAcentral. Lineage: Eukaryota; Fungi; Ascomycota; Dothideomycetes; Dothideales; Saccotheciaceae.
GCAUAUCAAUAAGCGGAGGAAAAGAAACCAACAGGGAUUGCCCUAGUAACGGCGAGUGAAGCGGCAACAGCUCAAAUUUGAAAGCUGGCCUUCGGGUCCGCAUUGUAAUUUGUAGAGGAUGCUUUGGGUGAAACGCCAGUCUAAGUUCCUUGGAACAGGACGUCAUAGAGGGUGAGAAUCCCGUAUGUGACUGGAAAUGUUAACCUAUGUAAAGCUCCUUCGACGAGUCGAGUUGUUUGGGAAUGCAGCUCUAAAUGGGAGGUAAAUUUCUUCUAAAGCUAAAUAUUGGCGAGAGACCGAUAGCGCACAAGUAGAGUGAUCGAAAGAUGAAAAGCACUUUGGAAAGAGAGUUAAAAAGCACGUGAAAUUGUUGAAAGGGAAGCGCUUGCAAUCAGACUUGUUUAAACUGUUCGGCCGGUCUUCUGACCGGUUUACUCAGUUUGGACAGGCCAGCAUCAGUUUCGGCGGCCGGAUAAAGGCUCUGGGAAUGUGGCCUUCACUUCGGUGAAGGUGUUAUAGCCCAGGGUGUAAUACGGCCAGCCGGGACUGAGGUCCGCGCUUCGGCUAGGAUGCUGGCGUAAUGGUUGUAAGCGACCCGUCUUGAAACACGG